UCUUAUCAAGAGCAGGCGGAGGGACGAGCCCGAUGAAGCCCGGCAACCGAUUCUAAAUGAACACGGUGCUAAUUCUUGCAGCAAUCAUGCUGACAGAUAAGG
Molecule: non-coding RNA, 102 nt
Filed under: uncultured Cytobacillus sp.
Lineage: Bacteria; Bacillati; Bacillota; Bacilli; Caryophanales; Bacillaceae
Description: SAM riboswitch (S box leader)
Rfam family: SAM riboswitch aptamer (S box leader)
About the family: The SAM riboswitch is found upstream of a number of genes which code for proteins involved in methionine or cysteine biosynthesis in Gram-positive bacteria. The SAM riboswitch acts at the level of transcription termination control. The predicted structure consists of a complex stem-loop region followed by a single stem loop terminator region.
Source: RNAcentral